This 73-nucleotide transfer RNA is filed under the name Paramuricea clavata. It matches the Rfam family "tRNA". From Rfam's summary of the family: Transfer RNA (tRNA) molecules are approximately 80 nucleotides in length. Their secondary structure includes four short double-helical elements and three loops (D, anti-codon, and T loops). Lineage: Eukaryota; Metazoa; Cnidaria; Anthozoa; Malacalcyonacea; Plexauridae. The record is from Rfam by way of RNAcentral.
GAUCUCGUAGCUCAGUUGGUAGAGCAUUGGACUAGUGAACCAAAGGUUGUGGGUUCGAUUCCCACCGCGGUCA